UACGUAGGCAGCGAGCGUUGUUCGGAGUUACUGGGCGUAAAGAGUGCGUAGGCGGUUUUCUAAGUUUGGUGUGAAAUCUCCCGGCUCAACUGGGAGGGUGCGCCGAAGACUGGAAGGCUUGAGUAUGGGAGAGGUAAGCGGAAUUCCUGGUGUAGCGGUGAAAUGCGUAGAUAUCAGGAGGAACACCUGCGGUGUAGACGGCUUACUGGACCAUAACUGACGCUGAGGCACGAAAGCUAGGGGAGCGAAUGGG
This 253-nucleotide ribosomal RNA is filed under the name uncultured bacterium. RNAcentral describes it as "partial 16S ribosomal RNA". It matches the Rfam family "Bacterial small subunit ribosomal RNA", at positions 524 to 776 of the family's 1533-position model. The record is from RNAcentral.